ACACAUGCAAGUCGAGGGGCAGCAUGGUCUUAGCUUGCUAAGGCUGAUGGCGACCGGCGCACGGGUGAGUAACACGUAUCCAACCUGCCGUCUACUCUUGGCCAGCCUUCUGAAAGGAAGAUUAAUCCAGGAUGGGAUCAUGAGUUCACAUGUCCGCAUGAUUAAAGGUAUUUUCCGGUAGACGAUGGGGAUGCGUUCCAUUAGAUAGUAGGCGGGGUAACGGCCCACCUAGUCAACGAUGGAUAGGGGUUCUGAGAGGAAGGUCCCCCACAUUGGAACUGAGACACGGUCCAAACUCCUACGGGAGGCAGCAGUGAGGAAUAUUGGUCAAUGGGCGAUGGCCUGAACCAGCCAAGUAGCGUGAAGGAUGACUGCCCUAUGGGUUGUAAACUUCUUUUAUAAAGGAAUAAAGUCGGGUAUGCAUACCCGUUUGCAUGUACUUUAUGAAUAAGGAUCGGCUAACUCCGUGCCAGCAGCCGCGGUAAUACGGAGGAUCCGAGCGUUAUCCGGAUUUAUUGGGUUUAAAGGGAGCGUAGAUGGAUGUUUAAGUCAGUUGUGAAAGUUUGCGGCUCAACCGUAAAAUUGCAGUUGAUACUGGAUGUCUUGAGUGCAGUUGAGGCAGGCGGAAUUCGUGGUGUAGCGGUGAAAUGCUUAGAUAUCACGAAGAACUCCGAUUGCGAAGGCAGCCUGCUAAGCUGCAACUGACAUUGAGGCUCGAAAGUGUGGGUAUCAAACAGGAUUAGAUACCCUGGUAGUCCACACGGUAAACGAUGAAUACUCGCUGUUUGCGAUAUACGGCAAGCGGCCAAGCGAAAGCGUUAAGUAUUCCACCUGGGGAGUACGCCGGCAACGGUGAAACUCAAAGGAAUUGACGGGGGCCC
Molecule: ribosomal RNA, 881 nt
Filed under: uncultured bacterium
Lineage: Bacteria
Description: bacterial SSU rRNA
Rfam family: Bacterial small subunit ribosomal RNA
Source: RNAcentral